GAUCCUACGGAGGUGGAUCGGGAUCCUACGGAGGGGAUUCGGGCUCCUUCGGGGGAUCCCGGCAGCGCCCCGGCUACAAGAACCCCGGGAUCCCCUUCGUGCCGGGGCUGCGGCACCCCGCCCGCAUCGGGGGGCGCCUGCCCAUCCGCCGGGGGCCGGGAUCCGGUCCGGGAUCCGGUCAGGGGUCCGGUCAGGGGUACAGCUGGGGAUCCGGUCAGGGGUAUGGUCAGGGGUACGGUCAGGGGUACGGUCAGGGAUCCGGUCAGGGAUCCGGUCAGGGAUCCGGUCAGGGAUACAGCCAGGGAUCCGGCCAGGGAUCCGGUCAGGGAUCCGGUCAGGGAUCCGGUCGGGGAUCCGGUCAGGGAUCCGGUCAGGGAUCCGGUCAGGGAUACAACCAGGGAUCCGGUCAGGGCUACAGCCAGGGAUCCGGUCAGGGAUCCGGUCAGGGAUCCAGGGCCCAGCCAGGAUCCAGCUCCGGGGAAGGGUACGGGUGUGGGGGGUGUUAGAAAUAGGGGAGGGGUCCCAGAGGGUCCCAAAAGAUCCCAGAGGAUCCCAGAGGGUCCAUUGGGGAUGGGGAUGGGUGUGGGGGGUGCCGGAAAUAGGGGAGGGGUCCCAGAGGGUCCCAAAGAUUCCAGAGGGUCCCGGAGGAUCCCAAAUAAAGCCUCGGAUC
RNAcentral lists this long non-coding RNA (670 nucleotides) under Junco hyemalis (dark-eyed junco). RNAcentral's name for it is "lncRNA (ENSJHYG00000007483.1)". Lineage: Eukaryota; Metazoa; Chordata; Aves; Passeriformes; Passerellidae. The record is from RNAcentral.